CCAAUAGCGUAUAUUAAAGUUGCUGCAGUUAAAAAGCUCGUAGUUGGAUUUCGGAACCAAUAUGUUGGUUGUGCCUCAGUACGUACUGGCAUUGUUGGUUUCUCCCUUCUGACAAACUAUGAUGUCAUUAAUUUGGUGUCAUGGGGAAUCAGGACUGUUACUUUGAAAAAAUUAGAGUGUUUAAAGCAGGCUCACGCUUGAAUACAUUAGCAUGGAAUAAUGAAAUAGGACGUUUGAUUCUAUUUUGUUGGUUUCUAGGAUUGACGUAAUGAUUAAUAGGGAUAGUUGGGGGCAUUAGUAUUCAAUUGUCAGAGGUGAAAUUCUUGGAUUUAUUGAAGACUAACUACUGCGAAAGCAUUUGCCAAGGAUGUUUUCAUUAAUCAAGAACGAAAGUUAGGGGAUCGAAGACGAUCAGAUACCGUCGUAGUCUUAACCAUAAACUAUGCCGACUAGGGAUCGGAUGAUGUUAAUUUUUUAAUGACUCAUUCGGCGCCUUACG
Molecule: ribosomal RNA, 499 nt
Filed under: uncultured Glomeromycotina
Lineage: Eukaryota; Fungi; Glomeromycota
Description: partial small subunit ribosomal RNA
Rfam family: Eukaryotic small subunit ribosomal RNA
Source: RNAcentral